AAGACUCUACUUUCAGGGAUCAUUUCUUUAGUUUGGAACUAGAGGAUUGUGUUUCUACAGAGGUUGGUCUUGCUGUCCAUGAUGAUGAAUGAAGAUGUUUUCUUCAGAGCAGGAAGCUGGUGAGAAGAUGAGAAUCUUCUUCACUGAUGAAGACUGUUCAGUGUUUCUGGAUGUGACACUGAGGGAGGAAACAUUGUCUGAGUGGA
Molecule: small nucleolar RNA, 206 nt
Filed under: Oryzias latipes (Japanese medaka)
Lineage: Eukaryota; Metazoa; Chordata; Actinopteri; Beloniformes; Adrianichthyidae
Description: Small nucleolar RNA U3 (ENSORLG00015009761.1)
Rfam family: Small nucleolar RNA U3
About the family: Small nucleolar RNAs (snoRNAs) are involved in the processing and modification of rRNA in the nucleolus. There are two main classes of snoRNAs: the box C/D class, and the box H/ACA class. U3 snoRNA is a member of the box C/D class.
Source: RNAcentral